AGGUUACUGCUAUCGGUGUUCGCCUAAGCCAUGCGAGUCAUAUGUUCGUAAGAACAUGGCGUACUGCUCAGUAACACGUGGAUAACCUGCCCUUGGGUCCGGCAUAACCCCGGGAAACUGGGGAUAAUUCCGGAUAACGCAUAUAUGCUGGAAUGCUUUCUGCGUAAAAUGGAUUCGUCUGCCCAAGGAUGGGUCUGCGGCCUAUCAGGUAGUAGUGGGUGUAAUGUACCUACUAGCCUACGACGGGUACGGGUUGUGAGAGCAAGAGCCCGGAGAUGGAUUCUGAGACAUGAAUCCAGGCCCUACGGGGCGCAGCAGGCGCGAAAACUUUACAAUGCGGGAAACCGUGAUAAGGGGACACCGAGUGCCAGCAUCCUAUGCUGGCUGUCCGGGUGUGUAAAAUACACCUGUCAGCAAGGGCCGGGCAAGACCGGUGCCAGCCGCCGCGGUAACACCGGCGGCCCGAGUGGUGAUCGUGAUUAUUGGGUCUAAAGGGUCCGUAGCCGGUUUGGUCAGUCCUCCGGGAAAUCUGACAGCUCAACUGUUAGGCUUUCGGAGGAUACUGCCAGACUUGGAACCGGGAGAGGUAAGAGGUACUACAGGGGUAGGAGUGAAAUCUUGUAAUCCCUGUGGGACCACCUGUGGCGAAGGCGUCUUACCAGAACGGGUUCGACGGUGAGGGACGAAAGCUGGGGGCACGAACCGGAUUAGAUACCCGGGUAGUCCCAGCCGUAAACGAUGCUCGCUAGGUGUCAGGCAUGGCGCGACCGUGUCUGGUGCCGCAGGGAAGCCGUGAAGCGAGCCACCUGGGAAGUACGGCCGCAAGGCUGAAACUUAA
This 838-nucleotide ribosomal RNA is filed under the name uncultured archaeon. RNAcentral's name for it is "bacterial SSU rRNA". It matches the Rfam family "Archaeal small subunit ribosomal RNA", at positions 21 to 859 of the family's 1478-position model. The record is from RNAcentral.